GCUGGGCGUGGUGGCACGCACCUGUAAUCCCACCUACUUGGGAAGCUGAGACAGGAGAAUCGCUUGAACCCAGGAGAUGGAGGUUGCAGUGAGCCGCCACUGCACUCCAGCCUGGGUGACAGAGCGAGACUCUGUCUCAA
Unclassified non-coding RNA from Macaca fascicularis (crab-eating macaque), 140 nucleotides. It matches the Rfam family "Metazoan signal recognition particle RNA". Rfam says of the family: The signal recognition particle (SRP) is a universally conserved ribonucleoprotein. It is involved in the co-translational targeting of proteins to membranes. Lineage: Eukaryota; Metazoa; Chordata; Mammalia; Primates; Cercopithecidae. The record is from Ensembl.